Molecule: long non-coding RNA, 2401 nt
Organism: Odontomachus brunneus
Lineage: Eukaryota; Metazoa; Arthropoda; Insecta; Hymenoptera; Formicidae
Exons: 3
Source: RefSeq, a predicted model, not a curated record
UAUCUUCACUUUGUCGAUCAUGCAAUAAACUAAAAGAUACGAAGGAAUGAUAUUUAUCUCUCAUUACUUAGACUCUGAACUCAAAUAUCUUAUUCAAAUCUGAGUAAUAUUGUGAAAGUCUGAUUUGUGAGUGCGCGCGCGGACACCUAGAUGGCGUGUGAUUCUUACUCAAUCGUCGUAACCGUGGGCUUUGGCCGAGACUCGUGGCCUUUCUUCCGCAGUCCAUCUUGGAGAGUACACGUAUUCGCGGAGGUGUCCCGAUCGUGUCACAAGCAGCGGAAUUCUAAGCUUAUUGCACCAGUGUAGCAGUGCAGCUGAAAAGAACAGACCACUAGUAACCAGGAGAGGAACGAGAAGAGUCCGGAAGCUGAUACGCUUCCCAGGUACUAACGACUAGCCGUCUACAGCAAUUCUAAGGUCCGUGCGUGUUCUUGCGAGUCUGUGCGCGUUUGGAUUGUGGAAACAGUAGCAGAAGACAACACACUUACGGUCAAGUGUUAACAAAAAUACAAACCCACCUCUCAACAGAGAAUUACGAAAUAACAGCGGAGGAAAUAAGCGUCACGAGAUUAACACUCCGACAAAACCAAUUAUUAAAAUCGACAAAAAUAUCCAAAGAUCCCUUUCAGAAGAAGAGAUAAAUAGAUUUUGUAAAAUUAUAUCAAGCGUUCGCCGAACACGACCAAAAGGGAAAAAUUUGCGAACAACUAGAUACAUCAUCAUAGUUUCUCAUAUUGUUCAUCGAACUUCUGUCCGAAAGGGACAGUUCAAAGAGUAAUACGUGAAUAUCGUCGCUGAAUCCUUUAACCCCAAACAUUAUCAAGCAGUCAUUCGCUAUGGAAAACAAACAAAACACAACACAGAACGAAUCAAUAAAUGUUGUAAAGAUGGAUGUCUUCCUAGAAAGAACUCCAGAGUUUUACCAGAAUAACCUAAAUAGAAUUCCAUUAAUUCCAAUGGAGAAAUGGAACCGUUACCUACAACAUUGGAAAAAUAAAAAUGAUGAAGUGCGUCGAGAAUACUUGGCAGCAGUCACUUCAAUUCUGGAAGAGGCGCAAAAAUUUAAAAAACAAAUGGAAAAAUACAAAGAAAAGUAGGAAGAAAUCAUUCGAGAUCUUCCUCUAUGCUGAAUUUUAAGCAACAUUAUACCAAAAAGUACGUCUUCUAAUAUCUUUAUCAAAACCUCAGGUGAGUCAACAAUUAUUAAAUUACACACCUGGUACUCUUCCGGCAACGGAUACAUCUGGAACACUCGUAACCUCUUCAUCUCUUAAUCUUCCGUUUAAACGUCAGAAACAAUGAAGUGACAUAGAAGUACCAACCCAGGAUAACGAGAUAACAGUAGAAAAAGAGCACAACAUUAGAAAGCCCCCAAAGGAACACAAAAAACGCAAAAGAAAGAAGAAGAACAUAAAAAAAAACAAAGAAGAACCAAGAGCGAUUACCAAUAUGUAGCACCUCGGACAUAAAAACCAAGACCAAGUGAUAUGAAACAAAUAAGAAAACAUCUCCUCGGACGAAGACACGAAUGAUUCGACACAGCACAAAGUCCAUGAUGAUUACUAAGUCCGGACUAAGGGUACACUGGUUUCAAAGGACAAACUGUCAAGAGUGACCUGAGAACGGGUAAGUUCGUGGUAAACUGCCGAUGGAGGAAAAAUUGGAAACCAUUCAGGAAAGGACCGAACCACAAAAAGGAAACAAAGUGACGCGGUCCAUUACAAGACCAAAGAACUUCAUCUAUAAAAGUCAUCUAAUAAUCGAAUCGAGUUAUUUGUUAUCUCUUGUUACAAUAUUUUUGUUAUCUUUUGUUAUCUCUUGAGAGCAUCAUUUUCAUGAUAAGCAUGUAUACGAUUUUUAGUUAUUUUAUUUUAUCUAAUGAAGAUAACUUUCGACGAAUAAGGACUUUACCCAGUUUUCUUUUAACAUACAAGAAUAAGACGUAAUCUGUAUUGAGAGAUUAGUUUGGGUGAGUAACUUUAUAGAACUUAACCGUACUUAGUCAUUUAUAUCUGUACAGUAAUUUUGCUUUAUCAUAAUUUUUUAAUUUUUACUGUAAUCAAUCUAAUCUAAUCAAUCAGGCUAAACAUUACCCAUAUUCUUCAACUAAUAACGAUUCUAACUGUUUGAGUCGCGGCAACGCGUUUCAGUCAGUACUGAAUAAAUCUUUUAUCGGUUAAAAAUCUGUUUAAAUCUGGUAAAAUCAUGUUCCGAAUAUAACUAACUAGGCGUCGUUUUAUAUAAGAAAAAUUUCUUUCCUUUUUUGUUAUUUCUUAGAGGAAAAAUUACCUACCAAAUGCUUAUUUUAUUUAGUUAUCUCUUUUAUGUUUAUACGCCAUUAUGAUUCUGACUUUUGUUAACGCAGAAAAUAAACAGAUGGAUCAGUUAAAUUGUUUAAUAA